GCUGCUGCUGUUGCUACAGCUGCAGAUUAGGCCGCUGCGGGAGACGGCAGGUAGCGCGCAACAGCUUAUCCACGGGCCCCGACUAACUUGGCACCGCGCCCUACCGCCGCCGCUUUGCCAGCCGCCACCGCGACCACCGUCGCCUGUUACAGGUCAAAGAGUGCGGCUGCUGCGGCGGCUGUAGCAGCAGCUGCAGCUUGCGAGGAGGCCUGUGCAAAAGGACAGUCAAAGCCAGGGGAUGCCAUGGGGUCAUGGUCAGGCAAGAUGUGGGGACUCCUGGCUGCGGGCUGCCGAGCAGGUGGUUAUGCUUGUGCUCAAGCACGCUGGCAGACGUCAGCAUGUCCCCAGCUCCUGCCCUGAAUCAACUGUGCCCUGGCUCCGGCCCUGGCCCCAACUCCUGCCCUGACCUCCGGCCACAGCUUCUGCCCUGACAUAUCCAGUUCAUACUUCAUUCUCCGGUGCCCCGGUACCGCCCCCAGCUCUGCCUUGGACCCACCAUGCCCCGGCCCCGCCCCUAGUCCCUGCCCUGACCCCCGCCAUCCCCGGCUCCUCCCAUCUCCUUGUCUCAAGCACCUGGCCCAGGUCCUGCCCAAUCCAACCCAGCCCGCAAGCCCGUGGCGCCGCAUCUCCCCUUCCGUUCUGUUUCCUAACACGUGUAUGUAGGGCAGCAUGGCCUCACCAUGACAGCGUCAGCUCCCUAGUCCCAACAGACCCAGCGCGGGCAUGCACGGCGAGACAAGACGCAAAACUCCUUUUCUUCUUGCAUCUUUGGUUAGGUGCGCAUGUCCAUGUUAUAUUUACGUCCAGACGUAUAAUGUGUGCUUCUGGGUAUCCAAAUUAAAA
Molecule: long non-coding RNA, 843 nt
Filed under: Chlamydomonas reinhardtii
Lineage: Eukaryota; Viridiplantae; Chlorophyta; Chlorophyceae; Chlamydomonadales; Chlamydomonadaceae
Description: long non-coding RNA (CREI_LNC001215)
Source: RNAcentral